This 637-nucleotide ribosomal RNA is filed under the name uncultured bacterium. RNAcentral's name for it is "bacterial SSU rRNA". It matches the Rfam family "Bacterial small subunit ribosomal RNA", at positions 215 to 842 of the family's 1533-position model. The record is from RNAcentral.
UCACUGAUGGAUGGACCCGCGGUGCAUUAGCUAGUUGGUGAGGUAACGGCUCACCAAGGCCACGAUGCAUAGCCGACCUGAGAGGGUGAUCGGCCACACUGGGACUGAGACACGGCCCAGACUCCUACGGGAGGCAGCAGUAGGGAAUCUUCGGCAAUGGACGAAAGUCUGACCGAGCAACGCCGCGUGAGUGAAGAAGGUUUUCGGAUCGUAAAACUCUGUUGUUAGAGAAGAACAAGGAUGAGAGUAGAACGUUCAUCCCUUGACGGUAUCUAACCAGAAAGCCACGGCUAACUACGUGCCAGCAGCCGCGGUAAUACGUAGGUGGCAAGCGUUGUCCGGAUUUAUUGGGCGUAAAGCGAGCGCAGGCGGUUUCUUAAGUCUGAUGUGAAAGCCCCCGGCUCAACCGGGGAAGGUCAUUGGAAACUGGGAGACUUGAGUGCAGAAGAGGAGAGUGGAAUUCCAUGUGUAGCGGUGAAAUGCGUAGAUAUAUGGAGGAACACCAGUGGCGAAGGCGGCUCUCUGGUCUGUAACUGACGCUGAGGCUCGAAAGCGUGGGGAGCGAACAGGAUUAGAUACCCUGGUAGUCCACGCCGUAAACGAUGAGUGCUAAGUGUUGGAGGGUUUCCGCCCUUCA